CCCCACUAUAAAAGACGAUUACAGAUUGAUCUGCGUCGCACUGCUCGAGUUGGCUCACUAACGUUCUUACUAACGAUUACAGAAAUCUCUUACUAUUUUUUCAACCAGAAAACAGAAAUCGGAAGUAUUAUGUCUGGAAAAGGUGAAGGCCAAGCUAGUAACGACAACAAGUCUGCCCAGGGUAAUCCAACAAGCACUAAAUAUGAAGGACAUCAGCCUGGUUACACUGGAACCGGGACUAAGCCAGACCUGAACAACCACUCCAACCAAAAGAAUUCAAACAAUCCAGAAUAUAAGGGAUCGGAAAAACAAUGAAUAAUUAAACCAUGUAUUAAUAUAUGUCAAUGAAAUUUGCUGUAUGAACAUUGUGAUCAACUAAAUUAUUCCAAAUUUAA
Mytilus trossulus (common blue mussel) is the source of this 395-nucleotide long non-coding RNA. RefSeq lists it as uncharacterized. The record is from RefSeq and is a predicted model, not a curated record. The transcript is spliced from 2 exons. Lineage: Eukaryota; Metazoa; Mollusca; Bivalvia; Mytilida; Mytilidae.